Molecule: non-coding RNA, 164 nt
Organism: Jatropha curcas
Lineage: Eukaryota; Viridiplantae; Streptophyta; Magnoliopsida; Malpighiales; Euphorbiaceae
Source: RefSeq, a predicted model, not a curated record
AAAAUGCGAUUGACAAAAGCUGGAAGCAAUGUGGCUAAAAAAGGCAGUCCUUUUAAAGGACAAUAAAGAACUGUAAUAAAAAGAAAGAAAAGCCUUGUGGAGUUUGAGACACUUAUUGUAGAAGAACUGUUAAUGAUAGAAAUAACGAUGUAAAAUACAAAGGU